GACGAAGGGGGCUAGCGUUGUUCGGAAUUACUGGGCGUAAAGCGCGUGUAGGCGGUUGUCCAAGUCGGGUGUGAAAGCCUUGAGCUCAACUCAAGAAAUGCACUCGAUACUGGGCGACUAGAGUGCCGGAGAGGAUAGUGGAAUUCCCAGUGUAGUGGUGAAAUACGUAGAGAUUGGGAAGAACACCAGUGGCGAAGGCGGCUAUCUGGACGGUUACUGACGCUAAGACGCGAAAGCGUGGGUAGCAAACAGG
RNAcentral lists this ribosomal RNA (253 nucleotides) under uncultured bacterium. RNAcentral describes it as "partial 16S ribosomal RNA". It matches the Rfam family "Bacterial small subunit ribosomal RNA", at positions 524 to 776 of the family's 1533-position model. The record is from RNAcentral.